ACUCAAAGGAAUAGACGGGGGCCCGCACAAGCGGCGGAGCAUGUGGAUUAAUUCGAUGCAACGCGAAGAACCUUACCUGGGUUUGACAUACACCGGAAAGCUGUGGAGACAUGGCCUCCGUAAGGUCGGUGUACAGGUGGUGCAUGGCUGUCGUCAGCUCGUGUCGUGAGAUGUUGGGUUAAGUCCCGCAACGAGCGCAACCCUUGUCCUAUGUUGCCAGCACGUGAUGGUGGGGACUCAUGGGAGACUGCCGGGGUCAACUCGGAGGAAGGUGGGGACGACGUCAAGUCAUCAUGCCCCUUAUGUCCAGGGCUUCACACAUGCUACAAUGGCCGGUACAGAGGGCUGCGAAGCCGUGAGGUGGAGCGAAUCCCAUAAAGCCGGUCUCAGUUCGGAUCGGGGUCUGCAACUCGACCCCGUGAAGUCGGAGUCGCUAGUAAUCGCAGAUCAGCAAUGCUGCGGUGAAUACGUUCCCGGGCCUUGCACACACCGCCCGU
RNAcentral lists this ribosomal RNA (497 nucleotides) under uncultured bacterium. RNAcentral describes it as "partial 16S ribosomal RNA". It matches the Rfam family "Bacterial small subunit ribosomal RNA", at positions 899 to 1397 of the family's 1533-position model. The record is from RNAcentral.